GACGAACGCUGGCGGCGUGCUUAACACAUGCAAGUCGAACGGAAAGGCCCUGCUUUUGUGGGGUGCUCGAGUGGCGAACGGGUGAGUAGCACGUGAGUAACCUGACCUUGACUUUGGGAUAACUUCAGGAAACUGGGGCUAAUACCGGAUAGGAGCUCCUGCUGCAUGGUGGGGGUUGGAAAGUUUCGGCGGUUGGGGAUGGACUCGCGGCUUAUCAGCUUGUUGGUGGGGUAGUGGCUUACCAAGGCUUUGACGGGUAGCCGGCCUGAGAGGGUGACCGGCCACAUUGGGACUGAGAUACGGCCCAGACUCCUACGGGAGGCAGCAGUGGGGAAUAUUGCACAAUGGGCGGAAGCCUGAUGCAGCAACGCCGCGUGCGGGAUGACGGCCUUCGGGUUGUAAACCGCUUUCGCCUGUGACGAAGCGUGAGUGACGGUAAUGGGUAAAGAAGCACCGGCUAACUACGUG
Molecule: ribosomal RNA, 468 nt
Filed under: uncultured bacterium
Lineage: Bacteria
Description: partial 16S ribosomal RNA
Rfam family: Bacterial small subunit ribosomal RNA
Source: RNAcentral